Molecule: long non-coding RNA, 131 nt
Organism: Bradysia coprophila
Lineage: Eukaryota; Metazoa; Arthropoda; Insecta; Diptera; Sciaridae
Source: RefSeq, a predicted model, not a curated record
UUAAUUAUUUUUCUUAUUCCAAGGAGGUGCGGGAAAACAGGAAAAAUAGGAAAAUAUGCAGUUUUGCUUGCUUUCUCGAUAAUAGCUACUGUUGUACAAAUCCGAUUGUCUUAAAAAUUAAAUAUUUUGUU